CGAGUCUGCGGGGCUGGACGCUGACUGCCCGGGCCAGCACCUAGGCGGGCGGGAGCUGUGCGGCCCAGGGUUCACGCGGGCCGGGUAGAGGCUCGAGCCGGGACCCCCGAGCGUGAACCCCGGAGCCGGCGGCGCUGGGGCCAGAGGGGCCGGGCGGGAGGUGGUGGCGGAGGCGAAGGGGCGACGGGACCUGGGCCUGGCCCGUGUGUGUCCUCGGCGGCCUGGCGCCGGCCGUCGCUGUACGGUGAGCCCCAGGGAGGCGGAUCUGGGCCCCGAGAAGGACCCCCGCCUGGAUUUGCCCCGUAGGCCCGGCCCGGGCCCCUCGGGAGCAGAACAGCUUUGGUGAGGUGGACAGGAGGUGACCUCGCGAGCAGACGCGCGCGCCAGCGACAGCAGCCCGCCCCGGCCUCUCGGGAGCCGUGGGGCAGAGGCUGCGGAGCCCCAGGAGGGGGCCAGUGUCAUUCAAAGAUGUGGCUGUGGAUUUCACCCAGGAGGAGUGGCAGCAACUGGACCCUGAUGAGAAGAUAGCAUACGGGGAUGUGAUGUUGGAGAACUACAGCCAUCUAGUUUCUGUGGGGUAUGAUUAUCACCAAGCCAAACAUCAUCAUGGAGUGGAGGUGAAGGAAGUGGAGCAGGGAGAGGAGCCGUGGAUAAUGGAAGGUGAAUUUCCAUGUCAACAUAGUCCAGGUUCAAGUGCUGGGGCCGGCAGUGGAGAGUUCCACGUGUACAGACAUCUGCGCCGGAGAGAAUAUCAGCGACAGGACUACAUGGAUGCCAUGGCUGAGAAGCAAAAAUUGGAUGCAGAGUUUCAG
Molecule: long non-coding RNA, 812 nt
Filed under: Homo sapiens (human)
Lineage: Eukaryota; Metazoa; Chordata; Mammalia; Primates; Hominidae
Description: long non-coding RNA NONHSAT212472.1
Source: RNAcentral